ACUUAAUAAUCAAACAAAACAUUUUUUUAGUUCUGCUUUAUGCUUACCUAUUAAAUAUGUUUUAAUUUAUAUUACAUAUAUAUUAUACAUUUGCUGUACCUUUUUUCUUAUACGGAACAUGUUUAUAAGCCGUAUAAUCUGCUUGUUAUUGAAAUGAACUUUACUUGUACGUGGAGACUAAAUAAAAAAAGUAAUGAUUGGAUAUUGAACUCCCCCUUCCAUUAACAAAUUGUUUUGUACUCCACUGCAUGUAUGUGCUAUUUAAAUUCAGUUAUCAAACAAUUUUUCUGAUUUCUUUGUAAAUUUUCUAUUAGUUUAUUAAAUUACCAUUUGCUUUUGUUCGUAGCUACAAUAAUAAUAUUAUUAUUUAUAAUUCGAAUACCAACACCAGCAUCUAAUUACACAAAUAUUUCUGUUUUUCUUUGAAUAGUUAUUAUUUGUAUUAAACAUUUUAAAUUAUUUAAAUAAACAGCAUGUUUAGUAUAAUAUAAAUCUCUGUAAAAUAAAAUUAUUUUAUGGUAGUAAGCUAUACAUCACUUUACAUAAAGCUUUGUAUGGCAUGUGUUUGUAAUUUGUAUAACAGGGUGACGAUGAUUAAUUAGGAAAAAUACAAACGGGCGCAUGAAGCUUUACCUCAAACAACCCUCGUCAUUUGUUACAAGUUUUCAGUCAUUUUCAACAGCCUCUUGGUGGUGUUUCGAAAUUCUAGUAACUAUUCAGUGCUCUCUCGAAAAAUAAAAAUAUACUCUUGUAUUUAAGUUGGUAUACAGAAUAAAAUAAUUUACGAGUGUUCAACUAAAGUAUUCUAUAAAACGGUCGACACAUUUUAAAUUAUGUAAUGGAAAGUAUUAUAGGUUGUACGCUUGAUAUGUAUACGACAACUGACAAGUUACACAAUAUUCGUGAAUCUAUACAGUGGACAGCGGUAAUUAGUUUGACUGCAGUACAGAAACAAAUGGUGGACAGUUGUCGCCUGUCGGUCAAGCUUUAAAGGAUAUUUCGAAAUUCUAUUUAUUAUUAUUAUUAAAUCAAAUGGAUAAACAUACAAAUUUGAAUGUAACUCCGAUCUUCAGACUUUAGUGUCAAUGACAAUAAAUAAUAUUUUUUCUAAUAGAGUAGUAAUUAUUGUUUAUUGCAGUUAACAUUGCUUUGGGUUAAACAUUCAUUUAUAUCCUGG
This is a long non-coding RNA of Rhopalosiphum padi (bird cherry-oat aphid), 1177 nucleotides long. RefSeq lists it as uncharacterized. NCBI's taxonomy places the organism in Eukaryota, Metazoa, Arthropoda, Insecta, Hemiptera, Aphididae. The record is from RefSeq and is a predicted model, not a curated record. The transcript is spliced from 3 exons.